UGCGUAGGUGGCAGUGCAAGUCAGAUGUGAAAGGCCGGGGCUCAACCCCGGAGCUGCAUUUGAAACUGCAUAGCUAGAGUACAGGAGAGGCAGGCGGAAUUCCUAGUGUAGCGGUGAAAUGCGUAGAUAUUAGGAGGAACACCAGUGGCGAAGGCGGCCUGCUGGACUGUUACUGACACUGAGGCACGAAAAGCGUGGGGAGCAAACA
This 208-nucleotide ribosomal RNA is filed under the name uncultured bacterium. Its description in RNAcentral is "partial 16S ribosomal RNA". It matches the Rfam family "Bacterial small subunit ribosomal RNA", at positions 568 to 774 of the family's 1533-position model. The record is from RNAcentral.